UAGCUCAGUGGUACAGCACCUGCCUGGCAAGCAGGAGGUCUGAGUUUGAUUCCUGG
RNAcentral lists this transfer RNA (56 nucleotides) under Cavia porcellus (domestic guinea pig). It matches the Rfam family "tRNA", at positions 8 to 63 of the family's 71-position model. Rfam says of the family: Transfer RNA (tRNA) molecules are approximately 80 nucleotides in length. Their secondary structure includes four short double-helical elements and three loops (D, anti-codon, and T loops). The record is from Rfam by way of RNAcentral. Lineage: Eukaryota; Metazoa; Chordata; Mammalia; Rodentia; Caviidae.